GAUGGACGCUGGCGGCGUGCCUAAUACAUGCAAGUCGAACGAAACUUCUUUAUCACCGAGUGCUUGCACUCACCGAUAAAGAGUUGAGUGGCGAACGGGUGAGUAACACGUGGGCAACCUGCCCAAAAGAGGGGGAUAACACUUGGAGACAGGUGCUAAUACCGCAUAACCAUAGUUACCGCAUGGUAACUAUGUAAAAGGUGGCUAUACUACCGCUUUUGGAUGGGCCCGCGGCGCAUUAGCUAGUUGGUAGGGUAAAGGCUUACCAAGGCAAUGAUGCGUAGCCGAAUUGAGAGGUUGAUCGGCCACAUUGGGACUGAGACACGGCCCAAACUCCUACGGGAGGCAGCAGUAGGGAAUCUUCCACAAUGGGCGAAAGCCUGAUGGAGCAACGCCGCGUGGGUGAAGAAGGUCUUCGGAUCGUAAAACCCUGUUGUUAGAGAAGAAAGUGCGUGAGAGUAACUGUUCACGUUUCGACGGUAUCUAACCAGAAAGCCACGGCUAACUACGUG
RNAcentral lists this ribosomal RNA (512 nucleotides) under uncultured bacterium. RNAcentral describes it as "partial 16S ribosomal RNA". It matches the Rfam family "Bacterial small subunit ribosomal RNA", at positions 28 to 507 of the family's 1533-position model. The record is from RNAcentral.